Molecule: ribosomal RNA, 253 nt
Filed under: uncultured bacterium
Lineage: Bacteria
Description: partial 16S ribosomal RNA
Rfam family: Bacterial small subunit ribosomal RNA
Source: RNAcentral
UACGAGGGGGGCGAGCGUUGUUCGGAAUUAUUUGGCGUAAAGGGUGCGUAGGCGGUUUGGUAAGUCUGAUGUGAAAUCUAUGGGCUCAACUCAUAGUCUGCAUCGGAAACUGCCGGGCUUGAGUAUGGGAGAGGUGAGUGGAAUUCCUGGUGUAGCGGUGAAAUGCGUAGAUAUCAGGAGGAACACCUGUGGCGAAAGCGGCUCACUGGACCAUAACUGACGCUGAUGCACGAAAGCUAGGGGAGCAAACAGG